Molecule: ribosomal RNA, 165 nt
Filed under: uncultured bacterium
Lineage: Bacteria
Description: partial 16S rRNA
Rfam family: Bacterial small subunit ribosomal RNA
Source: RNAcentral
UAGGGAAUCUUCCACAAUGGACGCAAGUCUGAUGGAGCAACGCCGCGUGAGUGAAGAAGGUCUUCGGAUCGUAAAACUCUGUUGUUAGAGAAGAACACGAGUGAGAGUAACUCGUUCAUUCGAUGACGGUAUCUAACCAGCAAGUCACGGCUAACUACGUGCCAG